This 2139-nucleotide long non-coding RNA is filed under the name Podarcis lilfordi (Lilford's wall lizard). Lineage: Eukaryota; Metazoa; Chordata; Lepidosauria; Squamata; Lacertidae. The record is from RNAcentral.
CAGACGGCAGUUGGCUUCUGCGACACGAGCAAUUCUGAGCAUUUGUCAUCCGGGUUAGUGAUUUUCUUCAUUCCGCCCCCCCAAAAAAGCUCAACAACUCUAUUUUCUUAAAUUUGAGUCCCCCAAAAUAGUCUUAUACAUGAAGGUGUGUUAUACACGGAAAAAUAUGGUACAUUCCAAUACUACAAAUAUAACAAGGUUACAGUGGUACCUCAGGUUAAGAACUUAAUUAGUUCUGGAGGUCCGUUCUGAACCUGAAAAUGUUCUUAACUUGAGGUAUCACUUUAGCUAAUGGGGCCUCCUGCUGCCGCCACACCGCCGCUGCCCGAUUUCUGUUCUCAUCCUGAAGCAAAGUUCUUAACCUGAGGUGCUAUUUCUGGGUUAGCAGAGUCUGUAACCUGAAGCGUCUGUAACCUGAAGCAUCUGUAACCUGAAGCGUCUGUAACCCGAGGUACCACUGUACUUAAAAAGCAUGCAGCACCAACAGCAAAAAUAACAAGGGAAUUUCUCUUUAGUCCUAGAAACACCCCUCCCUUGAUGUUCCCCAUUGUCCGUCACCUUCAGCAGAUUCUUAUAAGGCUUCCAAAGCAAAGGGUGGGUGGGGGGAGCUAAAAACACCCAUCUCAAGAUGCUGCUUAAUGAGGUUUUCAGUGCAAGCUUGCCAUCCUCUCGCAUUCUCUUUACUCAAGCAUCAGGGAGGGACCACUUAGCACUCAAAAUUUUGCUCGGUGUCCUGGAUUAUAUGGAUUGCUGUGGGCAAGUCACACUUUUACAGACAUUUUCCUUUGCUCCCUGUACUGCCACUGAACCACAUAUAAAUCCUUCUUUCAACUGCGCAUUUUAUUCCAGAAAUGCAUAUUCUUUUGACCUGGCCACAGUGACCCAUGCGACGGUCACCUCCAGGCUUGACUACUGUAAUUUGCUCUAUGCGGGGCUGCCCUUGAAGCUGUCCCAGAAACUCCAGCGGAUGCAGAAUGCUGCAGCAAGGCUCCUCAUGGGGUCUCUGCCAUGGAAGCAUAUUCACCCAGUGCUUUUCCAGCUGCACUGGCUCCCGGUGGAGUACAGGGUCAGAUUUAAGGUGCUGGUUUUGACCAUUAAAGCCCUUCACAACUUAGGACCCUCGUACCUACGGGACCGCCUCUCCCCGUAUUCCCCACGGAGAGCCUCAAGGUCCAUAAACAGCAACACCCUAGUGGUCCCAGACCCUAAGGAAGUUAGAUUAGCUUCAACCAGAGCCAGGGCCUUUUCAACUCUGGCUCCGACCUGGUGGAAUGCUCUGUCCCAGGAGACCAGGGCCCUGCAGGAUCUGAUUUCUUUCCGCAGGGCCUGUAAGACAGAGUUGUUCCACCUGGCCUUUGGCUUGGAGUCAAUUUGAUUCCCUCCCUCUCUUUCUUUUUUCUUUUCCUUUCUCCUCCUGUGAUGAGGCUACAUUUUAAUAUUUUAAUGUUUCAAUAUUUUAAUGUUGUAUUUUAAUUUUGUUUUUAAGUUGUAAUCAUUCAACUUGUUUUUAUUAUUGCUUGUAAGCCGCCCUGAGCCCGGCCUUGGCUGGGGAGGGCGGGGUAUAAAUAAAUAUGAUGAUGAUGAUGAUGAUGAUGAUGAUGAUGAUUACAGGAAAUGGCCGUGUGUGUUCAUCGGCUGAAGUAUAACAUUCAUGUUAAUUUAUGUUGAAAUGUUUGUAGUAAAGGGGUGGAAUUCAACACUGUGCUAUUUUAAAGCAGGUGGGUGUAGAGCACAAGCUAUGAUCAUGUUGCUACUGGAUUUGAUAGAACAAAUCCCAAUUUUUCUUCCCCACCCCACCCCCUGGUUCCAUGGCACAUUUUUAAAAUUAUGCACUAGAACAAUUUUGUGAUAAUCUUUGAAAAAAACAUAUAUUUCUUUCCUGACCAUUCAUUUUCAGAUAAGACGUUUGCAUGAGAAUUAUGUUGCACAUUUGAUAUACAUAUCUUCUCCAGAGAGGAGUUUAAUCCAGAGCUGCCAGAACUGCACAAAUGUAGGUUAGUCACAAAUAUCUGAAAUAAUUUGAAUGAAAAAUUGAUGGCUGUCUGGUAAAGAGUUAUAGAAAUCAGGGAGAAAGAAAUGUAGGUUAGCCUAGACUGCUAAACAAUCUACUUUUUCUCCUCCACAAUGAUCCCUCCCCCC